GGAUGUUAUGAUGAUAGGCAAAAAUGUUCAACUGCUCUGAAUUAAGCUGACUGAUAAUAGCCUUUCUGAACAUCC
This 75-nucleotide small nucleolar RNA is filed under the name Castor canadensis (American beaver). Its description in RNAcentral is "Small nucleolar RNA Z40 (ENSCCNG00000016080.1)". It matches the Rfam family "Small nucleolar RNA Z40". Rfam says of the family: Z40 is a member of the C/D class of snoRNA which contain the C (UGAUGA) and D (CUGA) box motifs. Most of the members of the box C/D family function in directing site-specific 2'-O-methylation of substrate RNAs. Lineage: Eukaryota; Metazoa; Chordata; Mammalia; Rodentia; Castoridae. The record is from Rfam by way of RNAcentral.